RNAcentral lists this ribosomal RNA (497 nucleotides) under uncultured bacterium. RNAcentral's name for it is "partial 16S ribosomal RNA". It matches the Rfam family "Bacterial small subunit ribosomal RNA", at positions 28 to 507 of the family's 1533-position model. The record is from RNAcentral.
GAUGAACGCUGGCGGCGUGCCUAAUACAUGCAAGUCGAGCGAACAGACGAGGAGCUUGCUCCUCUGACGUUAGCGGCGGACGGGUGAGUAACACGUGUAUAACCUACCUAUAAUACUGGGAUAACUUCGUGAAACCGGAGCUAAUACCGGAUAAUAUAUUGAACCUCAUUGUUCAAUAGUGAAAGACGUUUUUUCUGUCACUUAUAGAUGGAUCCGCGCCGCAUUAGCUAGUUGGUAAGGUAACGGCUUACCAAGGCAACGAUUCGUAGCCGACCUGAGAGGGUGAUCGGCAACACUGGAACUGAGACACGGACCAGACUACGACGGGAGGCAGCAGUAGGGAAUAUUCCGCAAUGGGCGAAAGCAUGACGGAGCAAAGCCGAGUGAGUGAUGAAGGUCUUCGGAUCGUAAAACUCUGUUAUUAGGGAAGAAAAAAUGUGUAAGUAACUAUGCACGUAUUGACGGUAACUAAUAAGAAAGCCACGGCUAACUACGUG